CCGUACUGAUCCCGAAGCCUCUGUCGCCGCCAUCCUCGGCCACCACCGCUAUGCUAUCUCUCUCGUACAUGACCGCUUCGAUCAAAAUUGAGAAAAGAGUAUACCAAGAAUAAGCAUGAGCAGAUUCAUGACUGCGUCGAGAGCUGGAGGAGUGAUUUUAUUCGGGAGUCCAAAACAGAUUUAACAUAACUAAAUCCAAAAAACUAAACAAACACAUCAAAAUUGCCAAGAACAAGCAUUCUAUACCCAAACAAGGUGCAGUUUAAAAUACAUACAUAGCCAAAAAUCAAGAA
This 293-nucleotide long non-coding RNA is filed under the name Daucus carota (carrot). RNAcentral describes it as "long non-coding RNA (DCAR_LNC003823)". Lineage: Eukaryota; Viridiplantae; Streptophyta; Magnoliopsida; Apiales; Apiaceae. The record is from RNAcentral.